UGGGGAAUAUUGCACAAUGGGCGCAAGCCUGAUGCAGCAAUGCCGCGUGAGUGAAGACGGCCUUAGGGUUGUAAAACUCUUUCGCUAGGGAAGAUAAUGACGGUACCUAGUAAAGAAGUCCCGGCUAACUCCGUGCCAGCAGCCGCGGUAAUACGGAGGGGACUAGCGUUGUUCGGAAUUACUGGGCGUAAAGAGUUCGUAGGCGGACCAGAAAGUUGGGGGUGAAAUCCCGGGGGCUCAACCCCGGAACUGCCUCCAAAACUAUUGGUCUAGAGUUCGAGAGAGGUGAGUGGAAUUCCAAGUGUAGAGGUGAAAUUCGUAGAUAUUUGGAGGAACACCAGUGGCGAAGGCGGCUCACUGGCUCGAUACUGACGCUGAGGUGCGAAAGUGUGGGGAGCAAACAGGAUUAGAUACCCUGGUAGUCCACACCGUAAAACGAUGAAUGCCAGUCGUCGGGUAGCAUGCUAUUCGGUGACACACCUAACGGAUUAAGCAUUCC
RNAcentral lists this ribosomal RNA (499 nucleotides) under uncultured bacterium. Its description in RNAcentral is "bacterial SSU rRNA". It matches the Rfam family "Bacterial small subunit ribosomal RNA", at positions 355 to 870 of the family's 1533-position model. The record is from RNAcentral.